This is a long non-coding RNA of Dermochelys coriacea (leatherback sea turtle), 2736 nucleotides long. RefSeq lists it as uncharacterized. The record is from RefSeq and is a predicted model, not a curated record. The transcript has 5 exons. Lineage: Eukaryota; Metazoa; Chordata; Testudines; Dermochelyidae.
AGGAUGUAUGCUGCAAGCUCCUGCAUAAGAACCUGUGACUCUCCAGGUUGUUGAGAUUGUGGACCUGGACUACUCUGCAGAUGACCAGCUGACCAUAGAUACUGACUGGGAUGCUGAGCCGCUGCUGCUGAGUUGAUGCCUGAGAUGGGCCUUAUGGUAGGAAGUGACUCAGUUUGCAGCUGGUGAGGCUAUGCCUGUCUUUGAAGCACUUGAAUCUCCUCUCACCUGUAUAAGGUGCUCACCCCAGGCUGUCUCCCAAUUCUGAGCAGAUGCAAUGAGAAGCAAAAGGCAGUGCUCUCACAAUUCCAGGACUAUGAAGAGAAGUAAGUGGCCUUCAAUUCAUAUCAUGUCAGUCAAUCAACAAAGCCACUUGACAGGGAACUUGGAGAUGUCUUAUGAGGCCAGUAAUCAAAAUUAUUCUAUCCAAAUUUGGCUUUUUCUCAGACUAUAGGCAUCUAGUUAAAGCUGGCCACAACUCUGGAAAGGAAGAAGCAUCCAUAAGAUCUAAUAGCUGGGGAACAGAAAGGAAUCAAGCUAGAUCUUUUGAGAGAUCAGGCCAUCUUCAAGAAACUCUUCCUCAGAACUGUUCUCUCUAGCAUGUAUCCUCUCAGUCCAUUCCUCCCACUUCAAAUGUGUAUGAGUUACUUGGAAACUGAGGGAAUCUUGGCACUGCAAAACUGUGGUCUGGGGAAAUUCCACAAGAUUUGAGGAUAAAACCACUGCAAAACCGUUUGUCGUGGACUGGCCACUAAGCAGCAUUGUGAGCAAUUGAGGAGCAUGAUUUUUUUUGCCUCCCUCUGAAUUAUCAGCUCUUAGCUAUUGCAGAAGGCAGAAUACUGGGAUUGAUUGACCAAUUGUGUGAAGGGACUACAGGUGAUGCUCAGGCCUGACUGCAGGCUACUAUCCCACAAUAAAAAUGAUCUGGCACGUGCUGGAGAAAGACCUUAAAAUAAAACUCAGGGAAAACCUGAUAGACUGAAAUAUGAAGACACUUGAGGGCCGCAUAGAGGAAAACAGCACUUCAAGAAGAUCCAUUUGAUUAGAGGACUAUCAGUUUUGUUUUUUUUCUAAACUUAGUACCUUGGCUAUUGCUAAUAAAGAAAUGUAUUUACUGAAUCAGUAGUUUACAUUUAAAGGAGCUAUUGUGGUUGUUGCAUAGCCAGUAGUUAGAUGACUGAACAUAUAUUCUGGGACAAGGAUGCAGCAGUCCACCUUCUGGUGAAGGUCAAUAUAGAGAACAUCCCUGGUACCAACGGGUUUUUUUAUCUCAAAGUAAGAAUUUUUAUUUUCUAAUGUCCAUUUUGCAGCUGUCCUUGAGUAACCAAUCACAUCAUAUUUUUGUAGAAAUGCAUUUCAUUCUCUAGGAAAUGACUCAUACAAUGUGGCAAAAUAUAAGACUACUGUUUACUGGUAGUUGGCUCCUAUUUAUCUAUUUGAGUUGAACUGAUCCAGUUGACUCUUAGAACAAGAGGUUUUAUCAUUCGCAAAUGUUGCAAAGUUGAUUUUGUUUUAUAUUUUUCAUAUUGGUUUUGAGUUGCUGGAUUUAUUUCCUUUUCAAAUUACUUUUUCCUAAAAAAACUCUGUUGAAACUUAGUAUGUUAACAAAUGAGGACAAUGUAUUAGUUCUUGAGAUCCAUUAUGGAUUAGCCAUGAUACUUGCACAAAUAUCUUUAAUGGGAAACUAGGCAAGGAAUAUUUUAUUUUUCUCUUGACCGCCUGUGGGUGUAUCUGUUCUGUCUCCUCCUCUGCUGGUAUCCAGCCUAUGUCGUCUUGAGGUGGAUUUUGAAGCUGAAAAAUUCUAGUUUGAAGUCAAUAUUCUUGCCACUUAUAUCUUUCAUUCUCUACUGGUCUCUCUGUAGUUUGUUCAUCUUUUCUCUAAAUUUUCAAGUGAAGACCAUAAAGAAUUGUUUUUGUGUCUUACAUUGUGAGGGAGUUGAAAGUCUACAUCAAUAAGUAAUUGCCUUGAUGAAAAGUACUAUAUUAAUUAUUUCAAAGCAUUGUGGAAGGAGCUGGGUUUUUUCUUUGUUCGUGAAAGUAGAUUUUAUAAUUGUAAGUGCUUUUUUUCCCUAAAACAUCUCACAAAAUGACACUUAAAAUUGCAAUAGUACAAAGGCCAACCUCCCCAAAAAGCCGCCAAACAACCUCCUUGACUUUUUUCCUUUAGUCUUAUGUUGGGCUGCUUUAUUGUCUGAGUAUCUGAAUCAGAUAAAUAUCAUUUGUCUAGUAGAUCUAUUUGGGACUGAUCCAGUGCUUUUGAGAUCCAGCGAAAGAGUCCCAUUGACUUCAAAUGGGGAUUAGAUCAGGCCUGUAGCUAAUGCAAAUACUUCAGCAAAACUGAGAUUGAACUGCUGUAUGUGUGACCUUUGAGAAUGGAGGGUACUGCAAUUUUUAACUUUCUAUACCACUUGCUUCAGAAUUCCACCAAGUUAAUCAUUAUGCACUGGUAUUCUAUUACAAAGGAAAGAGGAAUGUAUGCCAUACAGUAUAUUUGUUGUGGGAUUUUUCCCCCUUGACAGUAUCCCCUUAAUUUCUCUCUCCCUUUACUAUGUAUUUUUCAUCUUUGUAAUUGUAUUCUUUCAGUCUGCAUAGCCUAUUGGGAUGCAGUUUGUAUGAUAGGUACUAUACAAAAUAAUGUGUUAUAGCAUAAAGUAUUGUUUUUAAAUGUUAGGUAUAUUGCCCAUUGAUUUCAUUUUUAUUGCACUCCAAACUCACAAGCCACUUUAACAGUAAAUUCUC